Molecule: ribosomal RNA, 1988 nt
Filed under: gut metagenome
Description: bacterial LSU rRNA
Rfam family: Bacterial large subunit ribosomal RNA
Source: RNAcentral
GAAAGUAAGCAAGGGCAGACGGUGGAUGCCUUGGCUCUCGGAGGCGAUGAAGGACGUGAUAAGCUGCGAUAAGCUUGGGGUAGGUGCAAAUAACCUUUGAUCCCAAGAUUUCCGAAUGGGGCAACCCGGCUGGUAGAAGGCCAGUCAUUCCGUAAGGAAGGCGAACGUGGGGAACUGAAACAUCUAAGUACCCAUAGGAGAAGAAAACAAAAGUGAUUCCGCAAGUAGUGGCGAGCGAACGCGGAACAGCCCAAACCGAUGAUGUUUAGGCAUUGUCGGGGUAGUAGGACCACGUUGUGGCAAGAGAUUAAGGAAGUAGAACGUUUUGGAACAAACGGCCGUAGACGGUGAAAGCCCAGUAUACGACUCUUUAACGAAGCCUAGUGGAAUCCUGAGUAGCGCGGAGCACGAGAAAUUCUGUGUGAAUCAGCGGGGCCCAUCCCGUAAGGCUAAAUACUCCCGAGAGACCGAUAGCGAACCAGUACUGUGAAGGAAAGGUGAAAAGCACCUCGAACAGAGGAGUGAAAUAGUCCCUGAAACCGUCUGCCUACAAGCGGUCGGAGCAACGUAAGUUGUGACGGCGUGCCUUUUGCAUAAUGAACCUACGAGUUACUUUCUCCGGCAAGGUUAAGGGCUUCAGGCCCGGAGCCGAAGCGAAAGCGAGUCUUAAUAGGGCGUGAUAGUCGGAGUGAGUAGACGCGAAACCAAGUGAUCUACCCUUGGUCAGGAUGAAGGUUGGGUAACACCAACUGGAGGUCCGAAUGGGUAUACGUUGAAAAGUGUUCCAAUGAACUGAGGGUAGGGGUGAAAGGCUAAUCAAACUUGGAGAUAGCUCGUACUCCCCGAAAUGCAUUUAGGUGCAGCCUUUAUUUAGUAUAGCAAGAGGUAGAGCGACUGAUUGGAUGCGAGGGCUUCACCGCCUAUCAAGUCCAGAUAAACUCCGAAUGCGUGCUAUAUAUUGAUAAGGAGUGAGGGCGCGGGUGCUAAGGUCCGCGUCCGAGAGGAGAAGAAUCCAGACCAUCAGCUAAGGUCCCCAAAUAACAGUUAAGUUGAACUAACGAAGUCGGACUGCAGAGACAGCUAGGAUGUUGGCUUGGAAGCAGCCAUUCAUUUAAAGAGUGCGUAACAGCUCACUAGUCGAGGAGUCCGGCGUGGAUAAUACUCGGGCAUAAACUGUUUACCGAAGCUAUGGAUGUAGAAAUACAUGGUAGGGGAGCAUUCCAACGGCGUCGAAGGUGAAGGAUGACCUUUGCUGGAGCUUUUGGAAACGCAAAUGUAGGUAUAAGUAACGAUAAAGGAGGUGAGAAACCUCCUCGCCGAAAGACUAAGGUUUCCUGAUCAACGUUAAUCGGAUCAGGGUAAGUCGGGACCUAAGGUUAAGCCGAACGGCGAUACCGAUGGAAGAAUGGUUUAAUAUUCCCAUACUACUUUAUGGAGCGAUGUGGAGACGGAGAAGUGAAAGUCCUGCCAUCUGACGGAAUAGGUGGUUGAAGAGUGUAGAUGUAGAUUCCUGUAGGCAAAUCCGCAGGGAGAGUCGACCUUGAUAGUAUGCCGCGUGCUUGCACAAGGCAAAAUGGACGUAAUCAGGCUCCCAAGAAAAUCCGCUAAGCAUAUUCAUAAAGUACCCGUACCGUAAACGGACACACGUAGUUGGGUUGAAAAUACUGAGGCGCUCGAGUGAUUCACGGUUAAGGAACUAGGCAAAUUGACCCUGUAACUUCGGGAUAAAGGGUCCCUACUGAGAGGUAGGGCGCAGAGAAUAGGUCCAGGCAACUGUUUAACAAAAACACAUGGCUGUGCGAAAUAGAAAUAUGAAGUAUACAGCCUGACACCUGCCCGGUGCUGGAAGGUUAAGAGGAGAGCUCAUCGCAAGAGAAGGCUUGAAUUGAAGCCCCAGUAAACGGCGGCCGUAACUAUAACGGUCCUAAGGUAGCGAAAUUCCUUGUCGGGUAAGUUCCGACCUGCACGAAUGGUGUAAUGAUCUGGAC